GGAUAUAGCUCAAUCGGUAGAGUGCUUGCCUUGUAUGUGUAAGGACCUGGGUUCAAUCCCAGCACCA
Molecule: transfer RNA, 67 nt
Filed under: Marmota monax (woodchuck)
Lineage: Eukaryota; Metazoa; Chordata; Mammalia; Rodentia; Sciuridae
Description: tRNA.Thr
Source: RNAcentral